RNAcentral lists this small RNA (655 nucleotides) under Pongo abelii (Sumatran orangutan). RNAcentral's name for it is "processed transcript". Lineage: Eukaryota; Metazoa; Chordata; Mammalia; Primates; Hominidae. The record is from RNAcentral.
GCGGUCGUUCCCUCGGCUGUGGACCGGGCGGCACGCACGCGGUGCGGGGCAACAUGGCGGAUGCGGAAGUAAUUAUUUUGCCAAAGAAACAUAAGAAGAAAAAGGAGCGAAAGUCAUUGCCAGAAGAAGAUGUAGCCGAAAUACAACACGCUGAAGAAUUUCUUAUCAAACCUGAAUCCAAAGUUGCUAAGUUGGACACGUCUCAGUGGCCCCUUUUGCUAAAGAAUUUUGAUAAGCUGAAUGUAAGGACAACACACUAUACACCUCUUGCAUGUGGUUCAAAUCCUCUGAAGAGAGAGAUUGGGGACUAUAUCAGGACAGGUUUCAUUAAUCUUGACAAGCCCUCUAACCCCUCUUCCCAUGAGGUGGUAGCCUGGAUUCGACGGAUACUUAGGGUGGAGAAGACAGGGCACAGUGGUACUCUGGAUCCCAAGGUGACUGGUUGUUUAAUCGUGUGCAUAGAACGAGCCACUCGCUUGGUGAAGUCACAACAGAGUGCAGGUAUGUGGGAGAGGGAGGGAAGGACUGGCUAGAGUGGAAAGCUUUCUGUAUUUCCCUUCUACGUUUUGUCUGCUGGAAACUAUUUCUUCAUUAAGAAAAAAAAAAUCCUAAAACAAGGAUAUUGUUUUGGUUUCUGUGUACGUUCUGUCCCCUG